AAAUUGAAGAGUUUGAUCAUGGCUCAGAUUGAACGCUGGCGGCAGGCCUAACACAUGCAAGUCGAACGGUAACAGGAAACAGCUUGCUGUUUCGCUGACGAGUGGCGGACGGGUGAGUAAUGUCUGGGAAACUGCCUGAUGGAGGGGGAUAACUACUGGAAACGGUAGCUAAUACCGCAUAACGUCGCAAGACCAAAGAGGGGGACCUUCGGGCCUCUUGCCAUCGGAUGUGCCCAGAUGGGAUUAGCUAGUAGGUGGGGUAACGGCUCACCUAGGCGACGAUCCCUAGCUGGUCUGAGAGGAUGACCAGCCACACUGGAACUGAGACACGGUCCAGACUCCUACGGGAGGCAGCAGUGGGGAAUAUUGCACAAUGGGCGCAAGCCUGAUGCAGCCAUGC
RNAcentral lists this ribosomal RNA (400 nucleotides) under Escherichia coli. RNAcentral describes it as "bacterial SSU rRNA". It matches the Rfam family "Bacterial small subunit ribosomal RNA", at positions 1 to 397 of the family's 1533-position model. Lineage: Bacteria; Pseudomonadati; Pseudomonadota; Gammaproteobacteria; Enterobacterales; Enterobacteriaceae. RNAcentral also lists the same sequence under 2 other names. The record is from RNAcentral.